GUAGGUGGCAAGCGUUGUCCGGAUUUACUGGGCGUAAAGGGCGUGCAGGCGGUCUGUUAAGUCUAGGGUGAAAGCUCCCGGCUCAACUGGGAGAGGUCCUUGGAUACUGGCGGACUUGAGGGAUGCAGAGGAAAGUGGAAUUCCCGGUGUAGUGGUGAUAUGCGUAGAUAUCGGGAGGAACACCAGUGGCGAAGGCGGCUUUCUGGGCAUUACCUGACGCUGAGACGCGAAAGCGUGGGGAGCGAACCGGAUUAGAUACCCGGGUAGUCCACGCUGUAAACGAUGGACACUAGGUGUAGGGGGUAUCGACCCCCUCUGUGCCGCAGCUAACGCAAUAAGUGUCCCGCCUGGGGAGUACGGCCGCAAGGCUAAA
This 373-nucleotide ribosomal RNA is filed under the name uncultured bacterium. RNAcentral describes it as "bacterial SSU rRNA". It matches the Rfam family "Bacterial small subunit ribosomal RNA", at positions 527 to 898 of the family's 1533-position model. The record is from RNAcentral.